Molecule: long non-coding RNA, 987 nt
Organism: Abrus precatorius (Indian licorice)
Lineage: Eukaryota; Viridiplantae; Streptophyta; Magnoliopsida; Fabales; Fabaceae
Exons: 3
Source: RefSeq, a predicted model, not a curated record
UUGGCGCCAUUGGAAACAUUUGCAUCGCACACAAUACAAGGUGUAUCGAGUGACGAGUAGCAAAUCGCAAAUCGCAAAUCGCAAUUCGCAACCACUAUCUAUCCCUUUGAUUUGAAUUCCUUGCUUUAUUCUACUUUUUCCCCGUUUGUUCCCUUCUAGGGCGAACUUUUCCUGUUCCCAUUGACUCGCAUUUCUUCAGAUACGGUGCUCCACUUUUCCGCACCCAUAGUACCACUCCAUCGCUUCCAAAUCUACCAUUUCCUUUUCUCCCCAGAAUCCAGAAUCAUUGAGGAAAGCAUUCUACGAAAGUUUCAGUUGUCGUUGGCAUCGAUUAUUGUCCUGUUUUACAUCUUGCAUGGACGCCGUUACGAGAAACCCAAGACCGACACGCAAAACUUCUAUAAGAUUUUCCCACCUCAUUGGCAACAUUCUGCCACCUAUCUGGGGUUUCUCUAUCAUAUUUAGCCAGGGCUCUUUCAAAUAGUUUGUUUUGCCUUGGUGUCCAAGAUGAUGCCAUCUGAAGGCAAGAAGAUGAAGUUUCAACUUAGUGCUGUCUUAAGCAAAGGUAAUAUUAACAGGUUGGAAAGGAAUUUAGAAAUAUGAAGUGGCUUAGUGAGUUUCACAAACUGGAAAAAGAUAAAAGAAAUAAUUGCUUCAGGCAAGAAUGGUAUAGGAAAACAAUAACCAAGUUAGUCCCUUAUAUGUAGGAGGAAAAGUGUUGCUGUGGUUAUUGGUUCAGCCUGUUGGACGAAUAUGUUUCUCAAAAGGACAGAAGAUAAAGUGACUUGUUCUUCAUUCCCUCUUGGAACUACUUUAUGAAUCGAGAAAGUGGACAAUAAGUGGAAGAGGGGAAUCAAGAUCAAAGGAUAUGUCUUUUAUUGUUUUCACCAAAGGUUCUCCUUUAUUUUGUAAUUGGCAAGUUGGACUUAUCUUUAUAGAUUCUGGUCAGUGGUUUGUUGUUAAAAUUCAACAUGAAAUGACCAGACG